RNAcentral lists this ribosomal RNA (2479 nucleotides) under Staphylococcus aureus T37840. Its description in RNAcentral is "bacterial LSU rRNA". It matches the Rfam family "Bacterial large subunit ribosomal RNA", at positions 439 to 2925 of the family's 2925-position model. Lineage: Bacteria; Bacillati; Bacillota; Bacilli; Caryophanales; Staphylococcaceae. The record is from RNAcentral.
GGAAUCUGGGAGGACCAUCUCCUAAGGCUAAAUACUCUCUAGUGACCGAUAGUGAACCAGUACCGUGAGGGAAAGGUGAAAAGCACCCCGGAAGGGGAGUGAAAUAGAACCUGAAACCGUGUGCUUACAAGUAGUCAGAGCCCGUUAAUGGGUGAUGGCGUGCCUUUUGUAGAAUGAACCGGCGAGUUACGAUUUGAUGCAAGGUUAAGCAGUAAAUGUGGAGCCGUAGCGAAAGCGAGUCUGAAUAGGGCGUUUAGUAUUUGGUCGUAGACCCGAAACCAGGUGAUCUACCCUUGGUCAGGUUGAAGUUCAGGUAACACUGAAUGGAGGACCGAACCGACUUACGUUGAAAAGUGAGCGGAUGAACUGAGGGUAGCGGAGAAAUUCCAAUCGAACCUGGAGAUAGCUGGUUCUCUCCGAAAUAGCUUUAGGGCUAGCCUCAAGUGAUGAUUAUUGGAGGUAGAGCACUGUUUGGACGAGGGGCCCCUCUCGGGUUACCGAAUUCAGACAAACUCCGAAUGCCAAUUAAUUUAACUUGGGAGUCAGAACAUGGGUGAUAAGGUCCGUGUUCGAAAGGGAAACAGCCCAGACCACCAGCUAAGGUCCCAAAAUAUAUGUUAAGUGGAAAAGGAUGUGGCGUUGCCCAGACAACUAGGAUGUUGGCUUAGAAGCAGCCAUCAUUUAAAGAGUGCGUAAUAGCUCACUAGUCGAGUGACACUGCGCCGAAAAUGUACCGGGGCUAAACAUAUUACCGAAGCUGUGGAUUGUCCUUUGGACAAUGGUAGGAGAGCGUUCUAAGGGCGUUGAAGCAUGAUCGUAAGGACAUGUGGAGCGCUUAGAAGUGAGAAUGCCGGUGUGAGUAGCGAAAGACGGGUGAGAAUCCCGUCCACCGAUUGACUAAGGUUUCCAGAGGAAGGCUCGUCCGCUCUGGGUUAGUCGGGUCCUAAGCUGAGGCCGACAGGCGUAGGCGAUGGAUAACAGGUUGAUAUUCCUGUACCACCUAUAAUCGUUUUAAUCGAUGGGGGGACGCAGUAGGAUAGGCGAAGCGUGCGAUUGGAUUGCACGUCUAAGCAGUAAGGCUGAGUAUUAGGCAAAUCCGGUACUCGUUAAGGCUGAGCUGUGAUGGGGAGAAGACAUUGAGUCUUCGAGUCGUUGAUUUCACACUGCCGAGAAAAGCCUCUAGAUAGAAAAUAGGUGCCCGUACCGCAAACCGACACAGGUAGUCAAGAUGAGAAUUCUAAGGUGAGCGAGCGAACUCUCGUUAAGGAACUCGGCAAAAUGACCCCGUAACUUCGGGAGAAGGGGUGCUCUUUAGGGUUAACGCCCAGAAGAGCCGCAGUGAAUAGGCCCAAGCGACUGUUUAUCAAAAACACAGGUCUCUGCUAAACCGUAAGGUGAUGUAUAGGGGCUGACGCCUGCCCGGUGCUGGAAGGUUAAGAGGAGUGGUUAGCUUCUGCGAAGCUACGAAUCGAAGCCCCAGUAAACGGCGGCCGUAACUAUAACGGUCCUAAGGUAGCGAAAUUCCUUGUCGGGUAAGUUCCGACCCGCACGAAAGGCGUAACGAUUUGGGCACUGUCUCAACGAGAGACUCGGUGAAAUCAUAGUACCUGUGAAGAUGCAGGUUACCCGCGACAGGACGGAAAGACCCCGUGGAGCUUUACUGUAGCCUGAUAUUGAAAUUCGGCACAGCUUGUACAGGAUAGGUAGGAGCCUUUGAAACGUGAGCGCUAGCUUACGUGGAGGCGCUGGUGGGAUACUACCCUAGCUGUGUUGGCUUUCUAACCCGCACCACUUAUCGUGGUGGGAGACAGUGUCAAGCGGGCAGUUUGACUGGGGCGGUCGCCUCCUAAAAGGUAACGGAGGCGCUCAAAGGUUCCCUCAGAAUGGUUGGAAAUCAUUCAUAGAGUGUAAAGGCAUAAGGGAGCUUGACUGUGAGACCUACAAGUCGAGCAGGGUCGAAAGACGGACUUAGUGAUCCGGUGGUUCCGCAUGGAAGGGCCAUCGCUCAACGGAUAAAAGCUACCCCGGGGAUAACAGGCUUAUCUCCCCCAAGAGUUCACAUCGACGGGGAGGUUUGGCACCUCGAUGUCGGCUCAUCGCAUCCUGGGGCUGUAGUCGGUCCCAAGGGUUGGGCUGUUCGCCCAUUAAAGCGGUACGCGAGCUGGGUUCAGAACGUCGUGAGACAGUUCGGUCCCUAUCCGUCGUGGGCGUAGGAAAUUUGAGAGGAGCUGUCCUUAGUACGAGAGGACCGGGAUGGACAUACCUCUGGUGUACCAGUUGUCGUGCCAACGGCAUAGCUGGGUAGCUAUGUGUGGACGGGAUAAGUGCUGAAAGCAUCUAAGCAUGAAGCCCCCCUCAAGAUGAGAUUUCCCAACUUCGGUUAUAAGAUCCCUCAAAGAUGAUGAGGUUAAUAGGUUCGAGGUGGAAGCAUGGUGACAUGUGGAGCUGACGAAUACUAAUCGAUCGAAGACUUAAUCAA